This 452-nucleotide ribosomal RNA is filed under the name uncultured bacterium. Its description in RNAcentral is "bacterial SSU rRNA". It matches the Rfam family "Bacterial small subunit ribosomal RNA", at positions 335 to 800 of the family's 1533-position model. The record is from RNAcentral.
ACUCCUACGGGAGGCAGCAGUGGGGAAUAUUGGACAAUGGGCGCAAGCCUGAUCCAGCAAUGCCGCGUGAGUGAUGAAGGCCUUAGGGUUGUAAGCUCUUUUACCCGGGAAGAUAAUGACUGUACCGGGAGAAUAAGCCCCGGCUAACUCCGUGCCAGCAGCCGCGGUAAUACGGAGGGGGCUAGCGUUUGUUUCGGAAUUUACUGGGCGUAAAGCGUACGUAGGCGGCUUUUGUAAGUUAGAGGUGAAAGCCCAGGGCUCAACCCUGGAAUUGCCUUUAAGACUGCAUCGCUUGAAUCGUGGAGAGGUGAGUGGAAUUCCGAGUGUAGAGGUGAAAUUCGUAGAUAUUCGGAAGAACACCAGUGGCGAAGGCGGCUCACUGGACACGUAUUGACGCUGAGGUACGAAAAGCGUGGGGAGCAAACAGGAUUAGAUACCCUGGUAGGUCAGUC